UCCUUGAUGGUCCAGUGGUUAGAACUUGGUGCUGUCACUGCCAAAGGCCCGGGUUCAAUCUCUGGUCAAGAAA
Molecule: transfer RNA, 73 nt
Filed under: Bos taurus (domestic cattle)
Lineage: Eukaryota; Metazoa; Chordata; Mammalia; Artiodactyla; Bovidae
Also listed under: 5 other names
Rfam family: tRNA
About the family: Transfer RNA (tRNA) molecules are approximately 80 nucleotides in length. Their secondary structure includes four short double-helical elements and three loops (D, anti-codon, and T loops).
Source: Rfam by way of RNAcentral